This 254-nucleotide ribosomal RNA is filed under the name uncultured bacterium. RNAcentral describes it as "partial 16S ribosomal RNA". It matches the Rfam family "Bacterial small subunit ribosomal RNA", at positions 524 to 776 of the family's 1533-position model. The record is from RNAcentral.
UACGGAGGGUGCAAGCGUUGUUCGGAAUUAUUGGGCGUAAAGCGCGCGCAGGCGGUCUGGAAAGUCUAUGGGUGAAAUGCCGGGGCUCAACCCCGCGCAUGCCCAGGAUACUGUCAGACUGGAGACACGUAGAGGCAAGCGGAAUUUCGGGUGUAGCGGUGGAAUGCGUAGAUAUCAGGAGGAACACCGAUGGCGAAGGCAGCUCGCUGGGACGUGACUGACGCUGAGACGCGAAAGCGUGGGGAGCAAACAGG